GGAUUUCUGUCGUGGUCAUCCGGCUCCGCCUGUAUAGGUGUGCGCCUGGUUUGCCCUCGGCUUUCUUCCGGUAGCCUACCGCGCUUCACUGCGUGCGUGGGUGUUUUCCGGAACUUUUACUUUGAGAAAAAUAGAGUGUUUCAAGCAGGCUUGUCGCCCUGAAUACUUCAGCAUGGAAUAAUAAGAUAGGACCUUGGUUCUAUUUUGUUGGUUUCUAGGACCAAGGUAAUGGUUAAUAGGGACAGUUGGGGGCAUUCGUAUUUAACUGUCAGAGGUGAAAUUCUUAGAUUUGUUAAAGACGAACUACUGCGAAAGCAUUUGCCAAGGAUGUUUUCAUUAAUCAAGAACGACAGUAGGGGGUUUGAAGACGAUUAGAUACCGUCGUAAUCUCUGCCUUAAACUAUGCCGACUAGAGAUAGGGAAUCCAUUAGCCCAAUCUUCCCUGCACCUCAUGAGAAAUCAAAGUCUCUGGGUUCUGGGGGGAGUAUGGUCGCAAGGCUGAAACUUAAAG
This 511-nucleotide ribosomal RNA is filed under the name Eimeria sp. 39_1. Its description in RNAcentral is "SSU rRNA". It matches the Rfam family "Eukaryotic small subunit ribosomal RNA", at positions 636 to 1149 of the family's 1831-position model. The record is from RNAcentral. Lineage: Eukaryota; Apicomplexa; Conoidasida; Eucoccidiorida; Eimeriidae.